UACGUAGGGUGCAAGCGUUGUCCGGAAUUAUUGGGCGUAAAGAGCUCGUAGGCGGUCUGUCACGUCUGCUGUGAAAACUCGGGGCUUAACUCCGGGCCUGCAGUGGGUACGGGCUGACUAGAGUGCGGUAGGGGAGACUGGAAUUCCUGGUGUAGCGGUGAAAUGCGCAGAUAUCAGGAGGAACACCGGUGGCGAAGGCGGGUCUCUGGGCCGUAACUGACGCUGAGACGCGAAAGCGUGGGGAGCGAACAGG
Molecule: ribosomal RNA, 253 nt
Filed under: uncultured bacterium
Lineage: Bacteria
Description: partial 16S ribosomal RNA
Rfam family: Bacterial small subunit ribosomal RNA
Source: RNAcentral